UGGGGAAUAUUGCGCAAUGGGCGAAAGCCUGACGCAGCGACGCCGCGUGGGGGAUGAAGCUUCUCGGAGUGUAAACCCCUUUCGACCCGGACGAAUGACCCGCAAGGGUUUGACGGUACGGGUAUAAGAAGCCCCGGCUAACUACGUGCCAGCAGCCGCGGUAAUACGUAGGGGGCCAGCGUUGCUCGGAAUUACUGGGCGUAAAGGGUUCGUAGGUGGUGCGGCAAGUUGGAAGUGAAAUCUCUGGGCUUAACCCAGAGGCUGCUUUCAAAACUGCCGUGCUCGAGUGCGAGAGAGGUCAGUGGAAUUGCAGGUGUAGCGGUGAAAUGCGUAGAUAUCUGCAGGAACACCCGUGGCGAAGGCGGCUGACUGGAUCGCAACUGACACUGAGGAACGAAAGCUAGGGGAGCAAACAGGAUUAGAUACCCUGGUAGUCCUAGCCCUAAACCAUCGGAACUUGGGGUGGCCCGCGUAGGCGGGUCGUCCCGUAGCUAACGCGUUAAGUUCCGCGCCUGGGGAGUACGGUCGCAAGAC
RNAcentral lists this ribosomal RNA (534 nucleotides) under uncultured bacterium. RNAcentral describes it as "bacterial SSU rRNA". It matches the Rfam family "Bacterial small subunit ribosomal RNA", at positions 355 to 894 of the family's 1533-position model. The record is from RNAcentral.